Sapajus apella (tufted capuchin) is the source of this 4257-nucleotide RNA transcript. It is a transcript of the gene named calmodulin-regulated spectrin-associated protein 3 pseudogene, with no coding region annotated. The record is from RefSeq and is a predicted model, not a curated record. The transcript has 3 exons. Lineage: Eukaryota; Metazoa; Chordata; Mammalia; Primates; Cebidae.
AUGGGGCCCUCACCAGCAGUGGGGGAAGAUACUCCAGAAACUGGCCCUGAUACCUUUGUCCUAAGAGUCAGAAGGCCACCCACUUUUCCUGUUAGUGAACCAGUGGCACAGCAGCAGUGUGAAAACAGAGAAAUACAGCAACACAAAAAGUCAGUGCAUCAAAAACAGAAAGAAACCCCAGAGCGCGAGCACGGCGCAGCCCAGCCCAGCCCGAGCGCGGACCCGGCGCCUGCAGCCUUGGCGCCGCCAUGGUGGAGGCGGUGGUGCCGGCCCGGGCCGCUGCGGAGGACCUUCUCGGUGCCUUGACAUUGAGUUGCUGGACCAGUGCGAUUUCUCGCGGGCCAAGGCCGCGGCCAGCCAGGCGUGGGUGCUGCGGGCGGUGUUCGGGGGGCGCAGAGCACGUACCCCCGGAGCUGUGGAAGCCCUUCUAUACUGACCAGUAUGCGCAGGAGCACGUGAAGCCCCCAGUGACACGGCUGUUGCUCUCAGCCCAUCUCUGCUGCAGGGCCUGGCGCCAGGCACUGCCACAGUUUGAAACACCCCCCAACCCCUCUGCACUGCUGGCCCUGCUGGCGCGGAGGGUCACGGUGCCUGCAUUGCCGGAGCGGCAGGUGCGCAAGGCUGACCUGAGGCACCAGCCCAUUCUCAUGGGAGCCCAUCUAGCUGUCAUUGAUGUCGUCAUGGCUGCCUUUGCCUUCGAGUGGACAAAGGCCCUGCCAGGUCCCUUGGCCCUCACCAGGUUGGAGCACAAGCUGCUUUUCUGGGUGGACACGACCGUCUGGCGGCUGCAGGAGAAGACAGAGCAGGAAGCGGCCCAGAGAGCCUCUCCAGCAGCCCCUGCAGACUGGGCGGCCCCGGCGCAGCCCUAGAUCCGAUACCGCAAGGACCGGGUGGUGGCACGGCAUGUCCCCUGCUUCCCAACGGUGACCAGCCUCCAGGACCUGACCAGUGGGGCUGCACUGGCCGGCACCAGCCACUGCUAUUGUCCCCAGCUGCUUCGACUUGAGGAGGUGUGCCUGAAGGACCCCAUGUCUGUGGCGGACAGCCUGUACAACCUCCAGCUGGUGCAGGACUUUGCGCCUCCCGCCUUCCCCGUGGCUGCCCCCUGUCCCUCGAGGACUUGCUCUCCGUCCCCCCGCUGCUCAAGGUCAACUUGGUGGUGCUGCUGGCUGAGUUGUUCAUGUGUUUUGAGGUGCUCAAGCCUGACUUCGUGCAAGUGAAGGACUUGCUGGAUAGUCACGCCGCCUCCCCCGGGGCACGGAGGCCCCCGCCCCCAACAACAUUGGCAGCAGUUCUCCUGUCUUCAACAUCCACCUCCCACUCCUGUCACCUGGCGGCCUCAGUCCCCACUCCGAGGAUCCACAGGCUCCCUGAAGUCUUCCCCGUCCAUGUCCCAUAUGGAGGCCCUAGGCAAGGCCUGGAACCGGCAGCUCAGCGACGUGGAUGUCGUCAUGGGAGACCCUGUGCUCCUGCGCUCUGUGAGCUCGGACAGCCUGGGACCCCCCACAUCCCGCGCCGGCCAGGACCCCUGCCCAGCAACCCCCGGAGCCUGGCGACCUGCCCACCAUCAAGGAGGCUCAGCAGAUCAUCCACAGUGCCAAGCCCUGGCUGCUCCCAGACGGGCUGGCUGAUGGCAACUUCUACCUCCACUCCCCUGAGGGGGCCUCCAAGCCAUCCCUGGCCUCCCCGUGCCUGCCUGAGGGGACCUCCAAACUACUGUCCGAGAAGCCCACCAAAGCACUGGUGUACAUGCUACACCCCGAGACCCCCUCAAAACCAUCUUGGUGGGGGAGGCAUCGAAACCGCCGGCCCCAUCCAAGGGGUCCCCAAAGGCAGCGGCUUUUUCCCCCGCGGCCACCAACUCCGAGGUGAAAAUGACCAGCUUUGCGGAACGCAAGAAACAGCUGGUGAAGGCAGAGGCUGAAGCUGGAGCAGGGUCCCCCACGUCCACUCCGGCCCCGCCAGAGGCCCUGAGUUCAGAGAUGAGUGAGCUUGGCGUCCGGCUGGAGGAGAAACGCAGAGGCAUUGAGGCCAUCUUUGCAAAGCACUGCCAGCGGCUGGGCAAAAGCGCCUUCCUGCAGGUGCAGCCAAGGGAGGCUUCUGGGGAGGCGGAGGCCGAGGCCGACCCUGGCCCAGUCCCUGGUGGGGAGCGGCCAGUGGGUCAGGGCCAGGGUGAGCCAACUUUACGGCCCAAGGUAGUGACCUUCUCGCCAGACCUGGGUCCGCUGCCCCCCGAGGGGUUGGGGGAAUACAAUCAAGCGGUCAGCAAGCUGAGUGCUGCUUUGAGCUCUCUGCAGCGGUACAUGCAGAGGCUCACGGACCAGCAGCAGCGGCUGCUGGCCCUGCCAGAGGCCCCUGGACCUGCCCCCCACCCUGCUGCAAGGAUCAUCCCUGGCCCCACGACGACGGGGUCCAAAAUCUUGUCCCCCAGCCCCGCCCAGUGGGUCCCGGCCACCCGGUGCAGCCCUGGGCCCGGGCCCAGCCCCUCACCCCGAAGCCUGAAACACACCCGGCCAGCGGAGCUGCGGCUGGCGCCCCUGACCAGGGUGCUCACACCACCCCACGACAUAGACAGCCUCCCCCACCUGCUCAAGUUCUCCCCGAGCCAGGUGCCUGUGCAGACGCGCUCCUCCAUCCUCCUGGCAGAGGGGACACCCCCCGAGGAGCCAGCCGCCCUCCGGGCCUCAUCGAGAUCCCGCUGGGUAGAUCCCGCCGCCGAGGAAGACGGAGACGGGAGUCCCCCUGGUGCUGAGGAUUCCUUGGAAGAGAAAGCGUCUUCAGAGGGGUAGCCCCGAGCGGGGCUGGGGUUCUUCUACAAGGAUGAAGACAAGCCUCAGGAUGAGAGGGCCCAAAAGCGGGCCAUCCUGCUGGAGCUGCAGCAGCGGCUAGCAGAGGAGGUGCGGCGGCGCAAGCAGUGGCAGGAGGUGGAGAAGGAACCGCGGAGGGAAGAGGCCGCGAGGCUGGCCCAUGAGGAGGCCCCUGGCCCAGCCCCAGCCCUGUCCACAGUCCCUGCAGCCCCCAUGGCCACCCCGGCGCCUGCUGCCCGGGCCCCAGCCGAGGAGGAGGUGGGCCUCUGGUGGGGGGACUUCACGUAGCUGGAGUACGAGCGCUGAGCCCAGCUGAAGCUGAUGGACGACCUUGAUAAGGUGCUGCGGCCGCCCCGGGGAUGCGGGGUCGGGGGCCCGGGUCGGGGCGGGCGGAAGGCGCCGCGGCCUAGCUCAGGUUGCUGUGAUGAUUCGGCCCUAGCGCGAAGCCCAGCACGCGGCCUACUGGGCUCUCGGCUGAGCAAUAUCUAUUCCCAGUCCACCCUGUCACUGUCCACUGUGGCCAACGAGGCCCCCAAUAACCUCGGGAUGAAGAGGCCCACGUCUCGGGCUCCCUCCCCGUCGGGCCUCAUGUCCCCAAGCUGCCUGCCUGGGAGCCAUGAACGGGACUGGGAGAAUGGCAGCAAUGCCUCCCAGCGUCGGUGCCCGAGCACACAGGUCCACGGCUGUACAAGGAGCCUAGUGCCAAGUCCAACACGUUCAUCAUCCACAAUGCUCUGUCACACUGCUGCCUGGCGGGCAAGGUGAACGAACCGCAGAAGAACCGCAUUCUGGAGGAAAUUGAGAAAAGCAAGGCCAACCACUUCCUGAUCCUCUUUCGCGACUUGAGCUGCCAGUUCAGGGCGCGUCAGGGGAGACGGAGGAGCUGUCGCGGCUGGCGGGCUACGGGCCCCGGACCGUCACACCCGCCAUGGUGGAAGGCAUCUAUAAGUAUAACUCGGACCGCAAGCUCUUCAUCCAGAUCCCCGCCAAGAUCAUGUCCAUGAGCGUUGAUGCCUUCACCAUCCAGGGACACCUCUGGCAGGGCAAGAAACCCACCACUCCCAAGAAGGGCGGCAGCACCCCCAAAUAGCCCCACCCGGGGCUGGGCCCUGUGUGCUGCGGCCACCGCUUCCCGGAGGACAGUGAGUGGGUUUUCCUGGGUCCUGUCUGUCCCCAGCCGUGUCUGGGUGGGACUGGAGCCUCUACCCUCUGACUCUGAGACCAGUCCUGCUGUGGGGGCUGAGCUGGGAGGUUCAGGGACUCAGGACUCAGCUCAGUCCCCUUGUCUGUCCUCCCCCACUUCUUGAAUAAAAUAAUUUAAAGAGAAGUUGUGCCUUGUCCCCUCCAAGGCUGGCCGGGGUCCCACACUCCAAAAAAAAAAAAAAAAAGUACAUUUGAAGUUACAUUUUAUUUAAACAGGUAAAAAUGUAUAUGUCCUUUUAAAAUUAAA